Molecule: ribosomal RNA, 808 nt
Filed under: uncultured cyanobacterium
Lineage: Bacteria; Bacillati; Cyanobacteriota
Description: bacterial SSU rRNA
Rfam family: Bacterial small subunit ribosomal RNA
Source: RNAcentral
CCACACUGGGACUGAGACACGGACCAGACUCCUACGGGAGGCAGCAGUGGGGAAUUUUCCGCAAUGGGCGCAAGCCUGACGGAGCAAGACCGCGUGGGGGAGGAAGGUUUGUGGACUGUAAACCCCUUUUAUCAGAGAAGAACGCAAUGACGGUAUCUGAUGAAUCAGCCUCGGCUAACUCCGUGCCAGCAGCCGCGGUAAUACGGAGGAGGCAAGCGUUAUCCGGAAUUAUUGGGCGUAAAGCGCCCGUAGGUGGUUGUUCAAGUCCAUUGUUAAAGCGUGAGGCUUAACCUCAUAUCGGCAGUGGAAGCUGAGCGACUCGAGUGCGACAGGGGCAAGGGGAAUUCCUAGUGUAGCGGUGAAAUGCGUAGAAAUUAGGAAGAACACCGGUGGCGAAAGCGCCUUGCUGGGUCUGCACUGACACUGAUGGACGAAAGCUAGGGGAGCGAAAGGGAUUAGAUACCCCUGUAGUCCUAGCUGUAAACGAUGGGUACUAGGCGUUGACCGUAUCGACCCGGUCAGUGCCGGAGCUAACGCGUUAAGUACCCCGCCCUGGGGAGUACGCUCGCAAGAGUGAAACUCAAAGGAAUUGACGGGGGGCCCGCACAAGCGGUGGAGUAUGUAUGUUUAAUUCGAUGCAACGCGAAGAAACCUUACCAGGGCUUGACAUGUCCAGAAUCACCUUGGAAGAGGUGAGUGCCUUUCGGGGAGCUGGAACACAGGUGGGUGCAUGGGCUGUCGUCAGCUCGUGUCGUGAGAUGUUGGGGUAAAGUUCCCGAAACGAGCGCGCAACCCUCGUUUCUUAAGU